RNAcentral lists this ribosomal RNA (371 nucleotides) under uncultured organism. Its description in RNAcentral is "partial 16S ribosomal RNA". It matches the Rfam family "Bacterial small subunit ribosomal RNA", at positions 527 to 896 of the family's 1533-position model. The record is from RNAcentral.
GUAGGUGGCAAGCGUUGUCCGGAAUUAUUGGGCGUAAAGCGCGCGCAGGCGGUUCUUUAAGUCUGAUGUGAAAGCCCACGGCUCAACCGUGGAGGGUCAUUGGAAACUGGAGAACUUGAGUACAGAAGAGGAAAGCGGAAUUCCACGUGUAGCGGUGAAAUGCGUAGAGAUGUGGAGGAACACCAGUGGCGAAGGCGGCUUUCUGGUCUGUAACUGACGCUGAUGCGCGAAAGCGUGGGGGAGCAAACAGGAUUAGAUACCCUGGUAGUCCACGCCGUAAACGAUGAGUGCUAAGUGUUAGGGGGUUUCCGCCCCUUAGUGCUGCAGCUAACGCAUUAAGCACUCCGCCUGGGAGUACGGCCGCAAGGCUG